CAGUAACGGCGAGUGAAGCGGCAACAGCUCAAAUUUGAAAUCUGGCUCCUUCGGGGUCCGAAUUGUAAUUUGUAGAGAGUGCUUCGGGCGAGACCUCGGUCUAAGUCCAUUGGAACAUGGUGUCAUAGAGGGUGAGAAUCCCGUAUGCGACCGUGGCUCGAGCCCAUGUGAAGCCUCUUCGACGAGUCGAGUUGUUUGGGAAUGCAGCUCAAAACGGGUGGUAAAUUUCAUCUAAAGCUAAAUACUGGCUGGAGACCGAUAGCGCACAAGUAGAGUGAUCGAAAGAUGAAAAGCACUUUGGAAAGAGAGUCAAACAGUACGUGAAAUUGUUGAAAGGGAAGCGCUUGCAACCAGACCUGCCCGUAGGCGAUCAGCCGCUGUUCUCAGCGGUGCACUCGCUCUGCGAUCAGGCCAGCAUCGGUUUCGGCGGUCGGAUAAAGGCCUUGGGAAUGUAGCUUCCCUUCGGGGAAGUCUUAUAGCUCUCGGUGCAAUGCGGCCAGCCGGGACCGAGGACCGCGCUUCGGCUAGGAUGCUGGCGUAAUGGUUGUAAGCGACCCGUCUUGAAACACGGACCAAGGAGUCUAACAUCUAUGCGAGUGUUUGGGUGUCAAACCCAUACGCGGAAUGAAAGUGAACGGAGGUGAGAACCCUUAAGGGCGCAUCAUCGACCGAUCCAGAUGUCUUCGGAUGGAUUUGAGUAUGAGCAUAGCUGUUGGGACCCGAAAGAUGGUGAACUAUGCCUGAAUAGGGUGAAGCCAGAGGAAACUCUGGUGGAGGCUCGCAGCGGUUCUGACGUGCAAAUCGAUCGUCAAAUUUGGGUAUAGGGGCGAAAGACUAAUC
This 840-nucleotide ribosomal RNA is filed under the name Xanthoparmelia neochlorochroa. RNAcentral's name for it is "eukaryotic LSU rRNA". It matches the Rfam family "Eukaryotic large subunit ribosomal RNA", at positions 81 to 936 of the family's 3401-position model. Lineage: Eukaryota; Fungi; Ascomycota; Lecanoromycetes; Lecanorales; Parmeliaceae. The record is from RNAcentral.